CAGUAGCCGCGGUAAAACGUAGGUGGCAAGCGUUGUCCGGAAUUAUUGGGCGUAAAGGGCCCGCAGGCGGUUUCUUAAGUCUGAUGUGAAAGCCCCCGGCUCAACCGGGGAGGGUCAUUGGAAACUGGGAAACUUGAGUGCAGAAGAGGAGAGUGGAAUUCCACGUGUAGCGGUGAAAUGCGUAGAGAUGUGGAGGAACACCAGUGGCGAAGGCGACUCUCUGGUCUGUAACUGACGCUGAGGAGCGAAAGCGUGGGGAGCGAACAGGAUUAGAUACCCGUGUAGUCCCUGUCUCUUAUAC
This 301-nucleotide ribosomal RNA is filed under the name uncultured bacterium. RNAcentral describes it as "partial 16S ribosomal RNA". It matches the Rfam family "Bacterial small subunit ribosomal RNA", at positions 509 to 807 of the family's 1533-position model. The record is from RNAcentral.